GACGAACCGUGCGAACGUUAUUCGGAAUCACUGGGCUUAAAGCGCGUGUAGGCGGCCCGGCACGUCCGUCGCUGAAAUCCCCCGGCUCAACCGGGGAAGGGGCGUGGAUACGACCGGGCUGGAGGGGGGUAGGGGGAGCCGGAACUUCCGGUGGAGCGGUGAAAUGCGUUGAGAUCGGAAGGAACGCCCGUGGCGAAAGCGGGCUCCUGGACCCCACCUGACGCCUGAGACGCGAAAGCCAGGGAGCGAACGGG
This 254-nucleotide ribosomal RNA is filed under the name uncultured bacterium. Its description in RNAcentral is "partial 16S ribosomal RNA". It matches the Rfam family "Bacterial small subunit ribosomal RNA", at positions 524 to 776 of the family's 1533-position model. The record is from RNAcentral.